UAUCACCUUUACUUUGUGUAUUUUCAUAGCUGAGUGAAGAUAAUAACUUUUUCAUCAUGCAUUACCAAGGAGAUUCAGUGCAGUUCCAGUGCUAUGAAGACAGAAGUUACUACCUGUGUGUGAAUGAUGACUCCCUUGAUAUUCGCAAGCGGGAAAACGAAGAACUCAACGAGGACAAAAAUUUUUACUUUAGGGUGUCAUAUUUACAGGAAAAGUAACUUCCCUCCCUUCCAGUGGCCUAAGUGUCCAUACAGAUAAGAGAAUGAACAUUGAGGUCAACCUAUUUCCAUUUUGGCUUAAUUUUUUACUUUUUUAUAAUUUCUUAAGUCAUUAUUUUGCAUGAAUAACGUCCUUUAUUUCCAUACGUUCAACAGGACAAGAGAAAGGCUAAGUUUGAAAAACAUACUAACUGAUCAGUCUCUUUUUGUCUUACCUGCACAAUUACGGUUUUAUGGAACUGAAUUCUUCUGGAAGGGGAAAAAUACAUAGGGGAUAUUUGAAUACAGGGGAAAAAGGAGGAAGCAUACAUGGAUAUGAAAUACAAACCACUACCUAGUUCUCCAUGUGGUAAACAUUUUACUUUUUAAAAAAUAUCUCUUACGAGAAGAAAACAUUUAGAAGUUAUUAAAUGCACAUGUGCCUGUCCUGACUGACUGACUGACUGACUGACUUUGGGGAAGGAGUAGAAAAGGUGUCUCAGGUCUAAGUGAGAACAAAGGAAGAGGCUGAAGGUUUUAAACAGAAGAUCUCUCUGCCCCUGCAGCUCCAACUCAGCCCAUGCACUCCAUUAUGCAAUUUCACCAUCUUUCCAGCACAGCAGCUCCCUAAGAAAAUGUACCCAGAGCACCAGACUCCCACCAGGCUGGCGGAGGAAGGGAGGCACAUUGAAUGAUGGGGUGUAACAGAUGCCUGUGAACAAAGGCAGAAAAUUACCCUGACAUACUGGCUUCCCUCUCUGAAUCACAGAAGGAAAUGCAAUCACCUGUUAACCUGCAAAGCAGCAUGCAGAACAACAUCUGAAAAAUAAUCCGAUGUUCAAAAUGACUGAAUAAAAUAAACACUGUGUGCUUAUGUUGGAUAAACUGGAAGAGCAGUAAGAGAACCUGUCUUCUAGCAACAGGUUCUGUCAGCAUGAAAUGGAAGACGCUGACACUUAGAAGUCCAUAGACCAUACUCUGCAAGGCACCAAAUGUUUGAAAUACAAGAGGAUACAAACCAAAAGCGUACACAGGAUCAUUGGAUGUAAAAGGUCUGGUUCUCCACUGCUCCACAUGGAGUCCCACUGUGAUUUAGUGGCAAUUUUUGCUGAUGCAAGUCAUUUGGGCAUAUUUGUGUAUAAAUGAUAGACAUCAUGUACCUAUGCCAAGAGGUUACCGCCUAGUUGCAGUGGAACAACAAGCAAUCCACUCAGCACUUGCAGGAAUUGUUCUGUGAAACCAGAGUUCUUCCAAUCAUGGAGAAAGGAAUGGUCAUUACAGUAAAAAAACACUGAAGACUGGUAAAAGAAUGACUACAUUAAAGUGUGAGUUUCAUAACAAUUGUCAUAUAUUGAAGCAAGAGACUGGCAGCCAGCCUUGCUUGCCCUGAAAUAUGUGCCUGGUAUGCACCAUGUUACAUACCACCUUCAGUAUGGUUAGCCAGAAGAACUAGAAAUGAGAAUUAGAAAUUGUUAACCCAAUGAAUGCACUUACAGUCUAAACAAAAUAUAACAAUCUAGCAUUAGUCAAUUGCAACAGUACUAAAACUUUUAAGUAAUCCAAGUCACAAAUUUAGUCACACAUUUUCUAUUCAGGAUCAUUAGAAACACAACACAUCAAUAUAGACAAAGUCUCAUUUAUGCCUCUUCCCUGGUGUGAAGUUCUCACCCUUCCAUUCCCUCACAGCCUGAAGUCAAGGCCCCUUUUUUCUUAGAUGGGAUGAUGUGAUGAUGUUGUCAUUACGAUAGAUAUAAUGAUAUCCACUGAUUUAGAUGGAAGAGUAUUUUAUCUUAAGUGUUGCUGCUUUUGGAAACACAUGGCAUGCUUUGAAGUAAAAGAUAUGUAUAAACAGAGAUUUUUUAAAUGUCAUUUUGGUUUUGUUUCUAUUUGCCCAUGAUUUGUCUAGGCACACUAGGCACACUAAAUUCCUCCGAUGUUUGUGUGUUUUAAACAAGACUUCUCAUAUUCCAUGUAUAUUUGAAUAGCUGUAAAGAAGCAGAUUCUCUACCAGCUUCUCUGUUCAUUGAUUCUGACAAAUUACAUGGGCUAACUAGUACCAAGGACGAAAGCAGCUAAUAAGGUACAACUUGAAGCCGUCCUUCUCUAGCACCAUCUCGUGGACUUCCGAUGAAGGGUAGUAAACUUGUAUUCAACUUUUAUUACACUAUCAAGCUACAAAAAAAAAGUUCUUGGCAACUGAAAACAAAAAUUUCUUUGUUUUUCCAAACCCUGAUAUUUAUUUGCAACUGAUACAGGAUCUGAGGAGAGACUCAGGCAGCAGGGUUUGUUUAGCCUGAAGAUGAGAGUAGUGACUCUUCACCUAGCUGAAAGGGGACUGUAGACAAGGUGGACCAAACUUCCCUUAGAGGUGCACAGCAGAAGGACCAUAGGCAGUAGUCACAAUUUGUAGCAAGGGAAAUUUCUACUGUCUGUCAAGAAAAACAAAAAUUUAUAAGGAUAUGUAGGAAUUGGAACAGGUUGUGUGAUUAUAAAGUGGCUGUGGAGUUUUUCAGAAUUGAACUGUACAAGGCGCUGUGCAACCUCAUCUAGUACUGAAGGUAAGCCUGCUCUGAGCAGGUGGUUUGACAAAAUGACCUCCAGAGGUACCUUGCAACGUAAAUGAUAUUGUGAUUCUAUGAUUGAAAAGCAGCUUCAGUGUCUUAGAAAUUACAGAUUAUUUAACCCAAAGAAUUGUAUUCAAUGCAACCUACACAAGCAUACGGAAGAACAACAUAAAGCAAACAAAAGAAAUCCUAUUGAUUUCAUCCCAAAGCACAAUAUUUUCAUUACUACAUGCAGGUUUAAGCCAAAAGGAAAACACAUUCAGUGUCAGAAAAAAGGUCAUAACAAGUGAAAGAUUCCCUCUUGAUCUCCAAAAAAACUCAAAUCAAAACGCAUAGGCUAUUUAAAAGAAGAAAACGGCAUAAGGAGAACAAGGGUUCAAUUGGAAAAUAAAAAGUAAUUACAAUAUGUUUAUCAGGUGAAUUUAAAAGCUGCUGUCAUUUUACCUGAUUGGUUUUGGUGUAGUUUUUCUUGCAAUAACAGCCUUCUCAAUAUUUGAAUGAUCUGAGGAAAUACACUAAACACAUCUCAUUGUACUGAGGUCUGGUCAGUUCUGUGAGGAUCUCCUCCACCCCCUACCAUGGCUGUUAAAAGUAAACUGUAGUUCUAUUACAGAAAUCAUUAGGUAUUCUAAUAAUGUUAAAAACUAAAAGUUCUAAUACAUCUAGAUAAAAGUGUUACCUAAAUUCCGCAAAUUAUGCAAAUUACUACCAUAAGAAUAAAAAAAAGAAAAAAAAAUAGCUAAAAGGUAUGAAAUGGAGAGGGAUAAAGAAAAAGUUUGAAAAUGAAGCACAGAAAGAAUAGUGUGAUUCUAUGUGCAUUCCUUCCUCUAGAAAACUAAGAAAUAGAAGAGUUAACUACAUUUGUGGGGUAUUUACAUUUUGGCUACUUAGAAAGUCAUAUAUUCUUCAUUAUUCACUGCAGCUCUACUACAGAAUUUACAGAAUCUCUCUAUCUGUUUUCAAUUUCAUUUUUUUUCAUCACUUAGAAAGAAAGUAGUUAAUUAGUAAUUAAAUAUGUUUGCUCUGUUUUCAUUCUGAGCUUCUAUAUAUGAAGCUGUUAUUUAGAAAUAGGGGAUAUAUAACUCAAAGUACAGUUUUAGAAGACCCAUACAUUUUGAGCAUUGUAGCUCCUUUUAGUGGUAGCUCCACAUUUUCUCUCUGAAAAUAAUUUAAUAUUUUCUUUGUAAUUAUGUACUUCACUUGAAUAAGGUCAUACCAAAUACUGUAUUAUUAGUCAUACCUGUAUUAAAAUUAGUAUUAACCAAUACCAUAUGUUGACUGUUAACAGGAUAAACAAAUAUGUUCUGUAUUUACAAAUGUAAACUUUGCUCACAAUUAUGGUUCACUCUUAAGGUAAGCCUUAAAACUAUUUUAUGGGUUUAACUCAAGAGUAAAUAAAUUAAUAUUUCACCAUGUCA
Calidris pugnax (ruff) is the source of this 4179-nucleotide long non-coding RNA. RefSeq lists it as uncharacterized. The record is from RefSeq and is a predicted model, not a curated record. NCBI's taxonomy places the organism in Eukaryota, Metazoa, Chordata, Aves, Charadriiformes, Scolopacidae. The transcript is spliced from 2 exons.